UGGGGAAUAUUGCACAAUGGGCGCAAGCCUGAUGCAGCCAUGCCGCGUGUGUGAAGAAGGCCUUCGGGUUGUAAAGCACUUUCAGCGAGGAGGAAGGGCAGUGUGUUAAUAGCACAUUGCUUUGACGUUACUCGCAGAAGAAGCACCGGCUAACUCCGUGCCAGCAGCCGCGGUAAUACGGAGGGUGCAAGUGUUAAUCGGAAUUACUGGGCGUAAAGCGCACGCAGGCGGUUUGUUAAGUCAGAUGUGAAAUCCCCGCGCUUAACGUGGGAACUGCAUUUGAAACUGGCAAGCUAGAGUCUUGUAGAGGGGGGUAGAAUUCCAGGUGUAGCGGUGAAAUGCGUAGAGAUCUGGAGGAAUACCGGUGGCGAAGGCGGCCCCCUGGACAAAGACUGACGCUCAGGUGCGAAAGCGUGGGGAGCAAACA
This 427-nucleotide ribosomal RNA is filed under the name uncultured bacterium. RNAcentral describes it as "partial 16S ribosomal RNA". It matches the Rfam family "Bacterial small subunit ribosomal RNA", at positions 355 to 774 of the family's 1533-position model. The record is from RNAcentral.